GUCCUCAUGAUUUUUUUUGAGGUCUGACCUGCCCAGUGAGUAUUUUAACGGCCGCGGUAUAUUGACCGUGCAAAGGUAGCAUAAUCAUUAGUCUUUUAAUAGGAGGCUGGAAUGAAAGGUUUAACGAAAAAUUGACUGUCUUAAUUAUAAAUUUGAAUUUAGCUUUUAAGUUAAAAGGCUUAAAUUUUUUUGGUGGACGAGAAGACCCUAUAGAGCUUUACACUAACUAUUUAUUGAAUUAUUUAGUUUUAUUAUUAUAUUUUAAUAUAUUUUGUGUUUUGUUGGGGUGACAAAAAUAUAAAUUUAACUUUUUUAACUUAUAUACAUUAAUUUAUGUUAUUUUGAUCCAAAAUUUUUGAUCAAUAGAUUAAGUUACCUUAGGGAUAACAGCGUAAUCCUCUUUCAGAGUUCAAAUUUACAAGGGGGUUUGCGACCUCGAUGUUGGAUUAAGAAAAUAAUUAGGUGCAGUAGCUUAAUUAAUAGGUCUGUUCGACCUUUAAAUUCUUACAUGAUCUGAGUUCAGACCGG
Molecule: ribosomal RNA, 528 nt
Filed under: Austroagrion watsoni
Lineage: Eukaryota; Metazoa; Arthropoda; Insecta; Odonata; Coenagrionidae
Description: partial 16S ribosomal RNA
Rfam family: Bacterial large subunit ribosomal RNA
Source: RNAcentral